GCGAGGUGGAGCAAAUCCCUAAAAGCCAUCCCAGUUCGGAUUGCGGGCUGCAACCCGCCUGUAUGAAGUUGGAAUCGCUAGUAAUCGCGGAUCAGCAUGCCGCGGUGAAUACGUUCCCGGGCCUUGUACACACCGCCCGUCACACCAUGAGAGUCGGGAACACCCGAAGUCCGUAGCCUAACCGCAAGGGGGGCGCGGCCGAAGGUGGGUUCGAUAAUUGGGGUGAAGUCGUAACAAGGUAAC
This 243-nucleotide ribosomal RNA is filed under the name uncultured bacterium. RNAcentral describes it as "partial 16S ribosomal RNA". It matches the Rfam family "Bacterial small subunit ribosomal RNA", at positions 1257 to 1500 of the family's 1533-position model. The record is from RNAcentral.